RNAcentral lists this ribosomal RNA (206 nucleotides) under uncultured bacterium. RNAcentral describes it as "partial 16S ribosomal RNA". It matches the Rfam family "Bacterial small subunit ribosomal RNA", at positions 568 to 774 of the family's 1533-position model. The record is from RNAcentral.
CGCGUAGGCGGCUGUUUAAGUCAGAGGUGAAAGCCCGGGGCUCAACCCCGGAAUAGCCUUUGAGACUGGACGGCUUGAAUCCAGGAGAGGUGAGUGGAAUUCCGAGUGUAGAGGUGAAAUUCGUAGAUAUUAGGAGGAACACCAGUGGCGAAGGCGGCUUUCUGGCGACAACUGACGCUGAGGCGCGAAAGUGUGGGGAGCAAAAC